This 72-nucleotide transfer RNA is filed under the name Ictidomys tridecemlineatus (thirteen-lined ground squirrel). Its description in RNAcentral is "Spermophilus tridecemlineatus (thirteen-lined ground squirrel) tRNA". It matches the Rfam family "tRNA". Rfam says of the family: Transfer RNA (tRNA) molecules are approximately 80 nucleotides in length. Their secondary structure includes four short double-helical elements and three loops (D, anti-codon, and T loops). The record is from Rfam by way of RNAcentral. Lineage: Eukaryota; Metazoa; Chordata; Mammalia; Rodentia; Sciuridae.
UGGGUUGUGGCUCAAUGGUAGAGCACUUGCUUAAGAUGUGAGUGGCACUGGGUUCAAUCCCUGGCACCACAU